GGGCGUAUGGUCAAGUGGUUACGACGUCUCAUUUGCAAUGUGAAGGGUCCCGGGUUCGAACCCCGGUGCGUCCA
Molecule: transfer RNA, 74 nt
Filed under: Podospora anserina S mat+
Lineage: Eukaryota; Fungi; Ascomycota; Sordariomycetes; Sordariales; Podosporaceae
Description: tRNA-Ala (TGC) (tRNA-Ala-TGC-3-1)
Rfam family: tRNA
About the family: Transfer RNA (tRNA) molecules are approximately 80 nucleotides in length.
Source: RNAcentral